Molecule: ribosomal RNA, 468 nt
Filed under: uncultured bacterium
Lineage: Bacteria
Description: partial 16S ribosomal RNA
Rfam family: Bacterial small subunit ribosomal RNA
Source: RNAcentral
GACGAACGCUGGCGGCGUGCUUAACACAUGCAAGUCGAACGGAAAGGCCCUGCUUUUGUGGGGUGCUCGAGUGGCGAACGGGUGAGUAACACGUGAGUAACCUGCCCUUGACUUUGGGAUAACUUCAGGAAACUGGGGCUAAUACCGGAUAGGAGCUCCUGCUGCAUGGUGGGGGUUGGAAAGUUUCGGCGGUUGGGUAUGGACUCGCGGCUUAUCAGCUUGUUGGGGGGGUAGUGGCUUACCAAGGCUUUGACGGGUAGCCGGCCUGAGAGGGUGACCGGCCACAUUGGGACUGAGAUACGGCCCAGACUCCUACGGGAGGCAGCAGUGGGGAAUAUUGCACAAUGGGCGGAAGCCUGAUGCAGCAACGCCGCGUGCGGGAUGACGGCCUUCGGGUUGUAAACCGCUUUCGCCUGUGACGAAGCGUGAGUGACGGUAAUGGGUAAAGAAGCACCGGCUAACUACGUG